RNAcentral lists this ribosomal RNA (447 nucleotides) under uncultured bacterium. RNAcentral describes it as "bacterial SSU rRNA". It matches the Rfam family "Bacterial small subunit ribosomal RNA", at positions 1014 to 1455 of the family's 1533-position model. The record is from RNAcentral.
CCCGUCAAAUCGGGCCAUCACACAGGUGCUGCAUGGCUGUCGUCAGCUCGUGCCGUGAGGUGUUGGGUUCAGUCCCGCAACGAGCGCAACCCUCGCCCUUUGUUGCCAUCGGGUAAAGCCGGGCACUCUAAGGGGACUGCCAGCGACAAGUUGGAGGAAGGAGAGGAUGACGUCAAGUCAUCAUGGCCUUUAUGCCUAGGGCCACACACGUGCAACAAUGGCCGGUACAGACGGAGGCAAUGCCGAGAGGCGGAGCAAACCCGAGAAAACCGGUCCCAGUUCGGAUUGAGGUCUGCAACUCGACCUCAUGAAGUCGGAAUCGCUAGUAAUCGCAUAUCAGAACGAUGCGGUGAAUACGUUCCCGGGCCUUGUACACACCGCCCGUCACACCACGAAAGUUUGUUGUACCCGAAGUCGGUGCCUUAACCUCGCAAGAGGAGAGAGCCG